GGGAGCCCAGGCAGAGGAGGCGCCCAGAGCGAGCGAGGGCUGUGAGGACUGCCAGCACGCUGUCACCUCUCACUCAUAUAGAUUGCCAAUCUAUUUGUGAACCAGGUUUGCUGGAGUUUGGAUUUACUACUGAGUCAUAUUUGGAGCAUGCUGGAAUCUUACAACUGAGAUUACCGAGUCAGAAACUAGUUUGACUGUUCUCGUCGGCAUGGUUGAGACAUUAUCCCUGGCAGAAGGCUGGACUGGCAUGGACAUCAUUUGAUGAGUUCGUCUCCUCUUAACAAUCAAAGCCUGUUUUCCAGUGCGAAUAAACUGUUGCCUUAUAUAUUGUUUUCCCAUUUUUAUAGUUGUUUACUGCAAAAAAGAGUCUGGUACAAGUUACUUUGCUAAAACCUUGAUAAAGUUUUAUUCUACGAUUCUUCAAUCAAUGUUUCUGUUUUGUUUAUUCUGUUAUCUCUGUUGUGUCAUACCAUAAUUCUCUCAUUAAUAGCUCAUAUUCUUUUUCAUAGCUAUUCAAUUCUUUAGCAGUUUCUACUUUUAUGUUUGGGAGAAAAUUGAAAGCUUGAUUUCUUAUUUUGACAAGUUUUCUAAAGGUUUCAGCAUGCAAUAUUUUUUUUCAUAGCCUUACAGUUUGUAAUAGUUCAUCUGAUUGUAAAGCUCUUACAAUCUUUCCUGAUUUUAAGUCAUUUUAACAACGACUUUCUCUCUUUUUUAUUUUUAAGAAACAAUGUCCUCCUUUUCAUUUGUUGAGAACUCUACUCAGCUUUUAAAAAACUUCCUGUGUAUGUACCUUAAUUCUUUUGACAAUAAAACAUUACUCUGAAUAUUCAAAGGGUCUUUCUUCUUUAGAAUGGUGGUUCCAAAGAGCUAUAUUUUCCUACAUUUGGUGAUCUUUCUUUUGUAAAUUUGGAACUUGGUUUAUAGCUUUUUAAAAAGGUUUUACCAACUACUAAUAUGGAACCACAUGCUGUUUUCUUUAUGAGUGGAUUUUUCAGACAUUCUGUUAAUGCAAACCAGACGUUCAUGACUGCAUCAGUCUAUGAAAGCUGAGAGAUACCUGGGGCCAUAGGCAUUCUCUCCAGUACAAGUUGCCUCUUCUUUUCCUUUGCCAUGUUUAAUGAAGUUCACUUAUUCAUGUCAAAAUACUUUUUUUUCCUUCACCCAUUCACUUUCUCCUUGUUGUCCUUCAGCCUCAUCCCACCUCCUCCUCUACUCACACACAAACACAUUCCAAGCCUGAUCCCUGGGACUUGCCCAAGGCAGGUGGGAGUUCAUUUGUUCUCUAAAUGUUUUACCCCGCACCCUACCUCCUAACCCCCUGCCCCUCCACCUGGCUCCCCCACAUUUCCCUCUAAGAGGGAGUUGUAAGAUGGUUUAUCCUCAGGCACUUCCACUUAUCUCCUGGGCAUAUGCCCUUUCUCAGAAAAAGUAGUAAGUUGGAAUAUUACAACAUCCUCUGAUGUAAUGUAGCCACUCACUUAGUUUACAAAUCAGAAAUCAGUGGUAGUUUUUGUUGUUUUGUCAACAUCCUGAAGAAUUAAAUACGGAUACUCCUAUAUACAAACAUUUUACUCCCAUCUUUAUAUUCUUUUUUUUUCUGUUUGCCAUUCUAAUUGAAAUCGAGUGGUAGAAAGCAACAUAGAUAGGCUCAUUGUCAUCUUACCCAGGAAAUAAAGGAAAACUUACUGAAUGCAAACUUGGUACUGUACACUAGAAUGUAAAAGCUCACUUCCAGCUUAGUAAAGGACCAAGAAAGCUACUACAAAGCGAAUUCAAGCACUGGAGCUACUCUACUGAACCACGUAGAAUCCUGUCCUCCCUCACCAUGUCCACAAGGACACAGUAUGGGGUAGAAAGGCAACACAUGCCUGUGCAGAAGGAAAGAGCAGGUUACUGUAUUAGAAAAGCCAUUUGUGUGAGGCCAAAUCGUGAUUCUGACAGCCCAAUUAUGACAAGUGACAUAUUUACAAGGUGCCAAUCUGUCAAAUAAAUGGAGACUAAAUUGGCUCUGGAAUAAUAGCUUAUAAUUCUUUCUGCUGCUUUCUUUGACUGAUGUGCUUUAUUUUUACCUUUUUUUUUUUUCUUCACAUACUUCAGCUGAUUUGUGAGUCCAGGAAAUGGUAGGUGCAUCUUUAAUCCAGUUCAAAGGGGCAAAGGACUAGCAUUUACAGUCCACAUAUGAUCAGCUUCGGUGCUAAUUUAAUUACAGAAAUGACCUCUGUUAAUCAUUAUAACAUUUAAUCAUGUAGGUAUUAUUCCUACUUCCUACUUUAAAAAUGUUUGAAGAAGCACCAGUGUCCAUCAAAUAGCUCAUAAUUACACAGUUCAAAGGGGAAGAAUAUUUGUAUUUGAUGACUUAUUUCUUUGACUCAUCAUUCUAUGUCAUGACAGGUAGUUAAUUGUUACUACUUAACUCCACUGCAGUUACUAGUCACACACCUCUCUUCCAUAGUAAAACUCUAUGAGGGAAAAGACUGUUUUAUCUAUUCAUUGCUUACUCAGAAACUUAGUACAGUGGAAAUCAGAAAACAUUUAUUUAAUUCCAAAGCCCAUAGAAUAACAUUAGUAAAUUGACUUGGAGGUUGAGACUUAAGUUAUAGAAAGGUCUCUCUCUACUUUUCGUUCAGUGAUUCUUUCAUCUGUACAAUGGGUCUAUUAUCUGACCUACAGGACUAUUGUAAGGAACAUAAAUAGGAUGGAAUAGAAAACAAUGCAAUGCAAUAAGGAGAAAAUAUCAGAAUAUAACAUAGAUAUAGAUGAUAUCUAUAGUUCUUUCUAAAACAUCAGCACCUUCCAAACCCCACGUACAUGCAUAUGCACGCACGCACAUUGAAAUGUAGUAUUAUCUGGGAAUCGGAUCAAAAUUUUAGUACCGGUAGGGACUGCACUUGUUUGUUUGUUUGUCUGUUUUUGUUUUUUUGUUGUUGUUGUUUUGAGAUAGUCUC
This 2945-nucleotide long non-coding RNA is filed under the name Homo sapiens (human). RNAcentral's name for it is "HSALNT0350444". Lineage: Eukaryota; Metazoa; Chordata; Mammalia; Primates; Hominidae. The record is from RNAcentral.